GACGAACGCUGGCGGCGUGCUUAACACAUGCAAGUCGAACGGAAAGGCCCUGCUUUUGUGGGGUGCUCGAGUGGCGAACGGGUGAGUAACACGUGAGUAACCUGCCCUUGACUUUGGGAUAACUUCAGGAAACUGGGGCUAAUACCGGAUAGGAGCUCCUGCUGCAUGGUGGGGGUUGGAAAGUUUCGGCGGUUGGGGAUGGACUCGCGGCUUAUCAGCUUGUUGGUGGGGUAGUGGCUUACCAAGGCUUUGACGGGUAGCCGGCCUGGGAGGGUAACCGGGCACCAUGGGACUGCGGGAGGGCCCAGAAUGCAACGGGAGGCAACAGGGGGGAGUAUGACACAACGGGGGGAAGCCUGAGACAACGACGCCGGGUGCGGGAAGACGGCCUUCGGGGUGUGAACCGCUUUCGCCUGUGACGAAGCGUGAGUGACGGUAAUGGGUAAAGAAGCACCGGCUAACUACGUG
This 468-nucleotide ribosomal RNA is filed under the name uncultured bacterium. Its description in RNAcentral is "partial 16S ribosomal RNA". It matches the Rfam family "Bacterial small subunit ribosomal RNA", at positions 28 to 507 of the family's 1533-position model. The record is from RNAcentral.